CCGGAACUUGAUUUCCGGCGAGCUUAACGGUCCCAAUUUCAUAAGCGGAACGUUCGAUUAAGACAGCGAAAAUUCUCCGUUACAAGACUAGGUGUGCUGGUGCUGCUGCAUAAUCUCGAGCAUACGGGGACUAGGCUUGGGUAUUUACAUUUAAAGCAUUUUGAAAUAAGUAUUAUUGGUUUUUCUAAGACUUAUAUAUGGUUUGUGGUUUGAAUGAAAGGGGUCAUUGAUGAUUCCCGAGUUGUAUUUAUAUUUUAA
Molecule: long non-coding RNA, 258 nt
Organism: Beta vulgaris subsp. vulgaris (sugar beet)
Lineage: Eukaryota; Viridiplantae; Streptophyta; Magnoliopsida; Caryophyllales; Amaranthaceae
Exons: 3
Source: RefSeq, a predicted model, not a curated record